This 839-nucleotide ribosomal RNA is filed under the name Didymella segeticola. RNAcentral describes it as "LSU rRNA". It matches the Rfam family "Eukaryotic large subunit ribosomal RNA", at positions 68 to 926 of the family's 3401-position model. The record is from RNAcentral. Lineage: Eukaryota; Fungi; Ascomycota; Dothideomycetes; Pleosporales; Didymellaceae.
ACAGGGAUUGCCCUAGUAACGGCGAGUGAAGCGGCAACAGCUCAAAUUUGAAAUCUGGCGUCUUUGGCGUCCGAGUUGUAACUUGCAGAGGGCGCUUUGGCAUUGGCAGCGGUCCAAGUUCCUUGGAACAGGACGUCACAGAGGGUGAGAAUCCCGUACGUGGUCGCUAGCCUUUACCGUGUAAAGCCCCUUCGACGAGUCGAGUUGUUUGGGAAUGCAGCUCUAAAUGGGAGGUAAAUUUCUUCUAAAGCUAAAUACUGGCCAGAGACCGAUAGCGCACAAGUAGAGUGAUCGAAAGAUGAAAAGCACUUUGGAAAGAGAGUUAAAAAGCACGUGAAAUUGUUGAAAGGGAAGCGCUUGCAGCCAGACUUGCCUGUAGUUGCUCAUCCAGGUUUCUACCUGGUGCACUCUUCUAUAGGCAGGCCAGCAUCAGUUUGGGCGGUUGGAUAAAGGUCUCUGUCAUGUACCUCUCUUCGGGGAGAACUUAUAGGGGAGACGACAUGCAACCAGCCUGGACUGAGGUCCGCGCAUCUGCUAGGAUGCUGGCGUAAUGGCUGUAAGCGGCCCGUCUUGAAACACGGACCAAGGAGUCUAACAUCUAUGCGAGUGUUUGGGUGUCAAGCCCGAGCGCGUAAUGAAAGUGAACGGAGGUGGGAACCUUUCGGGGUGCACCAUCGACCGAUCCUGAUGUCUUCGGACGGAUUUGAGUAAGAGCAUAGCUGUUGGGACCCGAAAGAUGGUGAACUAUGCUUGAAUAGGGUGAAGCCAGAGGAAACUCUGGUGGAGGCUCGCAGCGGUUCUGACGUGCAAAUCGAUCGUCAAAUUGGGCAUAGGGGCGA